CCAUCAAGGGCGCGUGAAGGUUCCCCGUCCGGGCAGCGAAGCGCCCGGGGAUGAAACGGGAAUGCGGUGCGGGCCGAUCCCAGGCGGAGGCCCAAUUCCGCAGCCGCCCCCGCGACUGUAAGCGGCGAGCGGCCUGCCAGAGGCCACUGGGGGCGACGCCCCCGGGAAGGCGGCAGGUCGCUGCGACCCGCGAGCCAGGAGACCGGCCUGUCACGCGAUGAAAAA
This 225-nucleotide non-coding RNA is filed under the name Wenxinia saemankumensis. The record is from RNAcentral. Lineage: Bacteria; Pseudomonadati; Pseudomonadota; Alphaproteobacteria; Rhodobacterales; Roseobacteraceae.